Molecule: ribosomal RNA, 502 nt
Filed under: uncultured bacterium
Lineage: Bacteria
Description: bacterial SSU rRNA
Rfam family: Bacterial small subunit ribosomal RNA
Source: RNAcentral
AGGAUGAACGCUAGCUACAGGCUUAACACAUGCAAGUCGAGGGGCAGCAUGGGAUUAGCUUGCUAAUCCUGAUGGCGACUGGCGCACGGGUGAGUAACGCGUAUCCAACCUUCCCCCUGCUCAGGGAUAGCCCGGUGAAAACCGGAUUAAUACCUGAUGGUUUCAUUUGACGGCAUCAGAUGAUGAAUAAAGAAAUUCGGCAAGGGAUGGGGAUGCGUCUGAUUAGCUUGUUGGCGGGUAACGGCCCACCAAGGCGACGAUCAGUAGGGGUUCUGAGAGGAAGGUCCCCCACAUUGGAACUGAGACACGGUCCAAACUCCUACGGGAGGCAGCAGUGAGGAAUAUUGGUCAAUGGGCGAGAGCCUGAACCAGCCAAGUAGCGUGCAAGGAUGACGGCCCUAUGGGUUGUAAACUGCUUUUGUGCGGGAAUAAAGUCAGGGACGUGUCCCUGUUUGUAUGUACCGCAAGAAUAAGGACCGGCUAAUUCCGUGCCAGCAGCUGC